AGGACGAACGCUGGCGGCGUGCUUAACACAUGCAAGUCGAGCGGUGAUCCUCCUUCGGGAGGUGAGCAGCGGCGAACGGGUGAGUAACACGUGGGCAACCUGCCCCUCACACUGGGAUAACCUCGGGAAACCGGGGCUAAUACCGGAUAUGACCUCGAGCGGCAUCUCUUGAGGUGGAAAGCUCCGACGGUGAGGGAUGGGCCCGCGGCCUAUCAGCUUGUUGGUGGGGUAAUGGCCUACCAAGGCGACGACGGGUAGCCGGCCUGAGAGGGCGACCGGCCACACUGGGACUGAGACACGGCCCAGACUCCUACGGGAGGCAGCAGUGGGGAAUAUUGCGCAAUGGGCGAAAGCCUGACGCAGCGACGCCGCGUGAGGGAUGAAGGCCUUCGGGUUGUAAACCUCUUUCAGCAGGGACGAAGCGAAAGUGACGGUACCUGCAGAAGAGCACCGGCUAACUACGCGCCAGCAGCCGCGGUAA
RNAcentral lists this ribosomal RNA (481 nucleotides) under uncultured bacterium. RNAcentral's name for it is "SSU rRNA". It matches the Rfam family "Bacterial small subunit ribosomal RNA", at positions 26 to 523 of the family's 1533-position model. The record is from RNAcentral.